CAAAGACGUGCAGCUCUGUUGAAACUCCUCUCAACAUGAAACAAAACAACACUCAGACUCAGGAUGCACAGGAGAGUCAUGCAAACAGAUGUCCUUUAGUGGAGGACAGAGCAGAAGACAACAUUCAGACUGUAGUAACUGUUUAUGCUGAUGAAAGGUUAUUCUGAAGAUCAGGAAGGUUUGUUGCAAACAUCAGCCGAGCAACCUGAAAAGCCACAAGAUGACGAGUCUUUGAAUGUGAGCAGUGUGGAAAGGCCUUUUUCUGUAGUUCACCACAAAUGUAUGCAUUCGGUCAUAAAGCUGCACUGCUGUGAAAAAUGUGGGAAGAAGUUCUCACAAGUAAGAGCGCUAGAGACACAUCUCUGCAAACAUAUACAGAAAUUUGAGUUAUUUCCCUGCACUACUCGUGGAAAAAGCUUUAGAGACCUUGCAGCGCAUGAACGGGUCCAUGCGGAAGUCAAACUAUUUACCUGUGAUAUAUAUUCGGACAGUGAUAGACAGUUAGUGACAAAGUGUGCCAUAUAUAUAUCAGAUAUAUGUAAGAUUUAUAUUAUCAUGAUACAUUCACGAAGUACAAAUUCAUAUGUUGGCAUGGUUAUGGAAAACCUGCAAAUAUGAGGGAAUUUGAAAUGUGAUUUAUUAUAAAUCAUUAUUGUUAUAAUUAAUACUGCCUUCAGUCAUAAA
Long non-coding RNA from Carassius auratus (goldfish), 684 nucleotides. RefSeq lists it as uncharacterized. The transcript has 3 exons. The record is from RefSeq and is a predicted model, not a curated record. NCBI's taxonomy places the organism in Eukaryota, Metazoa, Chordata, Actinopteri, Cypriniformes, Cyprinidae.